RNAcentral lists this long non-coding RNA (1367 nucleotides) under Salvia miltiorrhiza (redroot sage). RNAcentral's name for it is "long non-coding RNA (SMIL_LNC000657)". Lineage: Eukaryota; Viridiplantae; Streptophyta; Magnoliopsida; Lamiales; Lamiaceae. The record is from RNAcentral.
AAAGAAAUGGUGGCUCUUGGAGCAAUGAAUGUUGCUGGCUCAAUGACGUCUUGCUACGUCGCUACAGGUAUAAAACAUAAAUCAAGCUCAUUUCAUUAAAAAUUGAAGGCAUAUAGAGAUGAUGUUCAUUUUGCAGGUUCCUUCUCACGCUCUGCUGUGAACUACAUGGCCGGCUGCCAAACGGCCGUUUCAAACAUCGUGAUGUCCGUUGUCGUGUUCCUGACGCUGCAGUUCAUGACCCCUCUCUUCGAGCACACCCCAAACGCGAUCCUCUCCUCCAUCAUCAUCUCAGCUGUCAUCGGCCUGAUUGACUACGAGGCAGCACUUCUCAUAUGGAAGAUUGACAAGUUCGAUUUCAUCGCCUGCAUGGGAGCCUUCUUCGGUGUGGUUUUCGCCUCCGUUGAGAUUGGCCUCUUGAUUGCUGUAAGGAUUCAAAACACCUUGCCAUUUCAUCAUAUAUUAGUAUACAAAUGAUAGUAUUAUUUUGGUUUCAUGGCAGGUCUCAAUAUCAUUUGCUAAAUUACUAUUACAAGUAACAAGGCCUAGAACAGCCAUUCUUGGAAAAAUUCCAAGAACAAAUGUUUAUAGAAAUAUUCAACAAUAUCCAGAGGCAAGCAAGGUUCCAGGAGUUCUGAUUGUAAGAGUGGAUUCUGCCAUUUGUUUCUCAAAUUCUAACUACAUUAAAGAAAGGUAAACUUCUAUAUAUUUCCCAUUAGCAUUUAACAUAAUCAAGAAAAAGAAUUGAUUUUUUUGCUUGAAUUGUAUGCUACUGCAGGAUACUGAGGUGGCUAACCGCGGAGGAAGAGCAACUGCAAGCUACUGGCCUUCCCAAAAUACAGUUUCUUAUCAUUGAAAUGUCACGUAUGUUUUUGUGUGCGUGUGUUUUUACAUAUACAUUGCACUCAACGCAUCAAGACACCAUAUUUGCCCUGAAAUUAACAUGAAUGCAUUUUUAAGUGCAGCAAAUUUUACGGCGAAUGCAAUGAGUUUAUACAUUCAGUGCAAUGUUCUCGCAUUUGAACAUCUUCUUACAUACCUUUGCUCCAAAUAUGCUUUCAUUUUAACGUUGUUUGAUUCCUGCAGCCGUCACGGACAUCGACACGAGCGGCAUCCACGCGUUGGAGGAGCUGCUGAGGAGCCUGCAGAAGAGAGACGUUGAGGUAACCACCUUCACAAUGUAUACAAACAACCCCAAAAAAAAUGAAGUGUAAAACUUACCUUAAAUUUUUCCCAACAGCUGGUUCUGGCGAAUCCUGGGCCCGUCGUGAUCGACAAGGUGCACGCGUCGAAUCUUGCGAGUAUGAUCGGAGAAGACAAGAUUUUUCUUACAGUGGCAGAUGCCAUUCAAACAUGCUCACCAAAAUUUG